RNAcentral lists this ribosomal RNA (344 nucleotides) under uncultured bacterium. Its description in RNAcentral is "bacterial SSU rRNA". It matches the Rfam family "Bacterial small subunit ribosomal RNA", at positions 28 to 359 of the family's 1533-position model. The record is from RNAcentral.
GAUGAACGCUAGCGGCAGGCUUAAUACAUGCAAGUCGAGGGGUAACAGGGGUAGCAAAUACCUGCUGACGACCGGCAAAACGGGGUGCGGAACACGUACGCAACCUUCCCCAUAACUGGUGAAUAGCCUUCCGAAAGGGAGAUUUAAUACACCGUAACAUAAUGAAGUGGCAUCACUUUGUUAUUAUAGGCUUCGGCCGGUUUUUGGAUGGGCGUGCGCCUGAUUAGGUAGUUGGCGGGGUAACGGCCCACCAAGCCUGCGAUCAGUAACUGGUGUGAGAGCACGACCAGUCACACGGGCAACUGAGACACGGGGCCCGACUCCUACGGGAGGCAGCAGUAAGG